UGAGGUAGAGGUCUCUUCUCAUGAACCUCAGCUCUGGGAAGCAGACGGCAGCUUUAACUUCCAGGAACACCCUUUGCACCUUGGCCAUCCUGAGCAGAUGGAGCCUUUCCCCAGCUUCUAAGAAAGGGGAAGAGAGCUCCCCUGAAGAGACCUUUUCCCCAAGCAAGGACCAAAAGCAGGUGCAAGCAGGAAGCAUAGGGGAUCCCUAGAAUUAGACUGGCUUCUACUGCUGGUUUCAUACAGACCCACGGGACGGUGGUGCUCACAGUUACUGCCCAACUGUCCAGACUGAUGUCUUCUCAGUGUGUGCACUCUGCUGACUCAUGUAUGAGAUAUGCUUCUCAUGGUGUUGACCAGAUUUCUUGGAGGGUAUGACAGCUGCAAACAGUAUCAACAAUGUCUGGAAAAACUGACAAAUUUAAGAGAAAGGUGAUUAAUCAGUGGGAGUUUCAGGCAGCAACUGAGUGCAGGAAAUCUGCCUGCCAGGUGAAGACUGGUGAGAUAUAUCUGAUGUCUUCCUUGAGAGUGAUGAGAGAAUUGAGGGGCUAAAUAGGCACCAACACCAGAGAUGAAGACAUGCAGAGACUUCUAGUGUUCAUACCGUGAGAGGUGGAAAAAGGAAGGUUUUCUGGAGGGAAGUGGAACCUGUGAUUUAUGCCAAUAAAACAUCAUUUUAGAUUCCUUGAA
This is a long non-coding RNA of Harpia harpyja (harpy eagle), 687 nucleotides long. RefSeq lists it as uncharacterized. The record is from RefSeq and is a predicted model, not a curated record. The transcript is spliced from 5 exons. Lineage: Eukaryota; Metazoa; Chordata; Aves; Accipitriformes; Accipitridae.